This 73-nucleotide transfer RNA is filed under the name Zingiber officinale. RNAcentral describes it as "tRNA-Tyr". It matches the Rfam family "tRNA". Rfam says of the family: Transfer RNA (tRNA) molecules are approximately 80 nucleotides in length. Their secondary structure includes four short double-helical elements and three loops (D, anti-codon, and T loops). Further hydrogen bonds mediate the characteristic L-shaped molecular structure. tRNAs have two regions of fundamental functional importance: the anti-codon, which is responsible for specific mRNA codon recognition, and the 3' end, to which the tRNAs corresponding amino acid is attached (by aminoacyl-tRNA synthetases). tRNAs cope with the degeneracy of the genetic code in two manners: having more than one tRNA (with a specific anti-codon) for a particular amino acid; and 'wobble' base-pairing, i.e. permitting non-standard base-pairing at the 3rd anti-codon position. The record is from RNAcentral. Lineage: Eukaryota; Viridiplantae; Streptophyta; Magnoliopsida; Zingiberales; Zingiberaceae.
CCAACCUUAGCUCAGUUGGUAGAGUGGAGGAUUGUAGAUUCUUAGGUCGUUGGUUCGAAUCUGACAUGUCGGA